This is a long non-coding RNA of Magallana angulata, 660 nucleotides long. RefSeq lists it as uncharacterized. The transcript is spliced from 4 exons. The record is from RefSeq and is a predicted model, not a curated record. NCBI's taxonomy places the organism in Eukaryota, Metazoa, Mollusca, Bivalvia, Ostreida, Ostreidae.
CGGAAGUUCUCUUCCUCUGCGAGCACUUGCUCCCGUGCCCUUUCUUCCUCGAGAGUGUUUAUACCCAGCAACUGCAAGAAAGGUCCCGGACGUAUAUAAAGUCAAAGGAUAAGGGGAUACUGGGCUGCCAGUACCAAACAGGAGUUGGACAUUCUUUGAUCUUGACGGCAGCGAGGCGGAUCUGCUGAAUAAGUUAUGCUUUUUCGACAUCUUGAUUGCACUUCCGGAUCCCAGGGUUUUACUCGUGGCCAUACUGAAAUUCAACGGGGUGGUGGAUACAAAUGUGUCUCUAACGAUGAAAGGGCUGUCAUGACAUCAUCGUGCUCCUUUUUUUGCCUGACGAGCUCAUCUUCGUGUUUGUUCUUCAGUGCUGCAACUUCAUCUGUACGGUUUCGUUUACUACAAGAAUCAAUAUUCUUUACUUAUCUCCAUAAUCAUAAACAUGGGCAUUUUUACCAAAGGAAAUCUAUCAAAGUAGCCGUAUAUUUGUUACAUCUAUACGUCUAUAAACUGUACACAGUCUACAAAAUAAUAUUUUUAAAUAAAAGAACUGUUUAAAAUGUGCAUUUUUUUAUUUUAUGCUAUUUUAUCUUUUGAUAUUUCUAAUCUUGAUUUAUUUUUUGCAUCUAAUAGUUGUCUAAUUAAAAUUAAAUUCAAUAC